CGCCCGUCACGCCAUGGGAGCGUGACUGGGGCGAAGUCGUAACA
This 44-nucleotide ribosomal RNA is filed under the name Escherichia coli. Its description in RNAcentral is "16S ribosomal RNA from Escherichia coli (PDB 1QZC, chain A)". The record is from RNAcentral. Lineage: Bacteria; Pseudomonadati; Pseudomonadota; Gammaproteobacteria; Enterobacterales; Enterobacteriaceae.